UACAAAUCUAAUGUCUCUGUAUUCCCUUAGAGUGCCUUUUGAGAGUUUGAUUUCCUUUCAAGCAAGGAGAUUAAAUUGACCUUCAUCAGAUCAAGCUAGCAUCUCUGAAGUUUUCUUAAAUGACUUCUUAUUGGAAAGAACAAAAGUGAUAAAAGCUCUGAGACUUUGUGACUAAUUGGGCUUUAUACAGAUUAACUAGGAAAAAAUUAAAGAGUAGUUCAGGCCACACAACUCAAUGAUUCCUUCUGGUAUUUAAUUCAAUGUACCUAUGUCUUAUUAUCUUACUGUUUCUCCUUUCUGCUUAAGCAUUAUGACUAUAUUACUGAAGAAUUGAAAAAGCACAAAUGGAGUGAAAAGUCUGUGUAAAAAGCAAUCAGCUUAGAUGUUGCUUUAGUAUAAUUAACACAUAGUUCUCUGAACUUGUACAAAGGUUAUAAAAGUUGUUUGUCUAUUUUAUGAAGGGUAAUCCAUGAGAUUUUUGAUAAAAAGAUGCUAUAUUUGAGGCCCUGUAAGAGACUAAAUGGAUUUUAAAGCCAAGAAAUCAAGAUAAAGAGACUUUCAAGAAGGUUGAAAUGAAAUAAUGUGCAGUGGUGGUGGAGGCUUCACAGCUUUGCCAAUGUCGUUCAGAACUGUUCUAUCCAUACCACCAGAUGUCUCAUCUUUUUAAUUUCAUGGCUGUGAUUAUUAUUGAUGCUACACAUGCAUAUACAGAAAGAAGGACAACUGGAAAACAUAAUUGGUUUGAUUAUUUGUUCCAAGGAACAUUUAUUAGACAGAUGACAUGUAUUUGGCCUCAACAUACAAGGCAAACACUAGUUAUUUAUGAAGUCACCAAGGUCCAUGUGUGGCCCAGCAAUGGAACCUCUUCAUCUCCACUAUUUUUGGUGAACCUUUUUUUGUACUUCCUUAGGCUUUUGUUAACACUAUUUUGUUACUUACAUAUAAGAAAAUGUAUAAUUAUACAUUUAUAUCCUUCCAUCAUUCUUUCAUAGGAAUGCUGACUUUCUGCCUCCUCCUCUCAGAUGAGUGAUUAUGUCUGUCAUCUUCAUAAUUUCAUUUAAUCUGUAUUGUAUUUCCUCAUUCUGAAGUCCUUCCCAUCUCACUCUCAUGACAACAGUUUUCUUCUUCUAAUUUUCUUAGCUUUCUUAAAGCCAAAAGGUCUAAAAUUAAAUGGCUGAAUGCAUUAGUACUUGGCUGCAUAUCUUAAUUUGUGCUUAAUAUAUAUGCAUAAACAUAUAACUCAUAA
Molecule: long non-coding RNA, 1246 nt
Organism: Parus major (Great Tit)
Lineage: Eukaryota; Metazoa; Chordata; Aves; Passeriformes; Paridae
Exons: 3
Source: RefSeq, a predicted model, not a curated record